This 49-nucleotide non-coding RNA is filed under the name marine eukaryotic metagenome. RNAcentral describes it as "serC leader". It matches the Rfam family "serC leader". From Rfam's summary of the family: This family is a putative regulatory RNA structure that is found upstream of the serC-serA operon in some alpha-proteobacteria. The final stem of the structure overlaps the ribosome binding site of the serC reading frame. The record is from RNAcentral.
GUGGGCCACGCCUCCCCAACGAGUGCGCGACCUAUCUGGAAGGAUAGGA